Molecule: ribosomal RNA, 444 nt
Filed under: uncultured bacterium
Lineage: Bacteria
Description: bacterial SSU rRNA
Rfam family: Bacterial small subunit ribosomal RNA
Source: RNAcentral
CUACGGGAGGCAGCAGUGGGGAAUAUUGCGCAAUGGGCGGAAGCCUGACGCAGCGACGCCGCGUGGGGGAUGACGGCCUUCGGGUUGUAAACCUCUUUCGGCCCCGACGAAGCGUGAGUGACGGUAGGGGUGGAAGAAGCACCGGCCAACUACGUGCCAGCAGCCGCGGUAACACGUAGGGUGCGAGCGUUGUCCGGAAUUAUUGGGCGUAAAGAGCUCGUAGGCGGUGUGUCGCGUCGGCCGUGAAAACCUGUAGCUUAACUGUGGGCUUGCGGUCGAUACGGGCAUCACUGGAGUUCGGCAGGGGAGACUGGAAUUCCUGGUGUAGCGGUGAAAUGCGCAGAUAUCAGGAGGAACACCGGUGGCGAAGGCGGGUCUCUGGGCCGAUACUGACGCUGAGGAGCGAAAGCGUGGGGAGCGAACAGGAUUAGAUACCCCGGUAGA